GGGUGGUGGAAAGUUUUUUCGGUCCAGGAUGUGCUCGCGGCCUAUCAGCUUGUUGGUGAGGUAAUGGCUCACCAAGGCUUUGACGGGUAACCGGCCUGAGAGGGUGACCGGUCACACUGGGACUGAGACACGGCCCAGACUCCUACGGGAGGCAGCAGUGGGGAAUAUUGGACAAUGGGCGGAAGCCUGAUCCAGCAACGCCGCGUGAGGGAUGACGGCCUUCGGGUUGUAAACCUCUUUCAGUACCGACGAAGCGAAAGUGACGGUAGGUACAGAAGAAGGACCGGCCAACUACGUGCCAGCAGCCGCGGUAAUACGUAGGGUCCGAGCGUUGUCCGGAAUUAUUGGGCGUAAAGGGCUCGUAGGCGGUUUGUCGCGUCGGGAGUGAAAACAGCGGGCUUAACUCGUUGCUUGCUUUCGAUACGGGCAGACUAGAGGUAUGCAGGGGAGAAUGGAAUUCCUGGUGUAGCGGUGAAAUGCGCAGAUAUCAGGAGGAACACCGGUGGCGAAGGCGGUUCUCUGGGCAUUACCUGACGC
This 537-nucleotide ribosomal RNA is filed under the name Nocardioides caeni. RNAcentral's name for it is "Nocardioides sp. MN8 Bacterial small subunit ribosomal RNA". It matches the Rfam family "Bacterial small subunit ribosomal RNA", at positions 194 to 746 of the family's 1533-position model. Lineage: Bacteria; Bacillati; Actinomycetota; Actinomycetes; Propionibacteriales; Nocardioidaceae. The record is from Rfam by way of RNAcentral.